Pelobates cultripes (western spadefoot toad) is the source of this 235-nucleotide non-coding RNA. Lineage: Eukaryota; Metazoa; Chordata; Amphibia; Anura; Pelobatidae. The record is from the annotation of a GenBank genome assembly.
GGCUAUGUGUGCAUUGUUACCCCAGAGCAGUAUAUUCUGUAUAGCAGACUGGCUAUGUGUGCAUUGUUACCCAGAGCAGUAUAUUCUGUAUAGCAGGCUGUCUAUGUGUGCAUUGUUACCCCAGAGCAGUAUAUUCUGUAUACCAGGCUGGCUAUGUGUGCAUUGUUACCCAGAGCAGUAUAUUCUGUAUAACAAGCUGUCUAUGUGUGCAUUGCAACCCAGAGCAGUAUAUUCU